Molecule: long non-coding RNA, 1799 nt
Organism: Salvelinus namaycush (lake trout)
Lineage: Eukaryota; Metazoa; Chordata; Actinopteri; Salmoniformes; Salmonidae
Exons: 2
Source: RefSeq, a predicted model, not a curated record
GGCAAACAGCACACACAGCGGGAGUCCACACACUCCACCAUAGACACACAUUUGUUUACUGCUCGUACUGGAUGCACCAGUCUAGAUUAGUUUGCGUUCACAGUACCACUUGUGUAGAAACGAAAGACCCUCCUCUUUGGACCAGCAUCGACAGUUUUGCUCUUCUCACAAGACUGUUCAGGGGCUGCUUCAGUGACAUCUGACAAGUUUACUUCCAUCUGAUCUGAUCCCUCCACCCCAGUGCCUGCCAGCAAGGUUAUCUGACCCACUAUUAACGAACCCCAAUGAGCUCCUCUGCUGUGGCGUUGAUUAGCAUGAGCCACGCUAAAUUCCCCGCCGCUAAGCUAACCUUGGCCCGUAGCCACUCUGCCCUCUAUGUCCUGUGGUGUGGUUAGUGCCGACGGCUAACGCGAGAGCACAGUCAAUCCGGAUGCUAGUGGCAACGCAAUAACCUCCCAUGGGUUGUGACUCCUCAGCACGACAUGGCUAGCACUCAUCAGCCAGAGCAAUUAGACCCAGCCUGCUUCCCCCCAUAUUCGCACUACGGCAGCUACAGUGUCAAGGCAGAAGAUAGGGGGAUGAGGAGGAGAGGGGGAAUGAAGGGGACACUUAAGUUCAGACCCCAAGAGGAGGAAGCAGAUGGACAUUUGACUCUGAACUUUAAGAUUGACUUUCUCUCUCUCUUUCAACCAUCCUUCUCUGUCCCCUCUCUCCACUCUGUCCUCAUCUCCACCCACCCUAACUGUCUUUCAACCUUUACCCUUUCCUCUCACAAACACCCUGCCUACCUCUCCCUGCAUCUCUCUCCCUACCUCUCCCACUCUUCCUCCCUUCCUCUAUCUCUCUACAGUGAAGAUGGCAAUGUGGAAGAAAUGUUUGAUCGUGGCCUGCUGUCUGCUAGUGAUGGCUGUCCUGGUCCUCGCCUGUGUGCUGCGCUACAAUUCCAAGAGAGGUAGAGAGACCUACAGUCCCCCAGCAACACAGGCCUUUGCUGGUGUCUGACUAUGAAUGAACAACCUCUUCUCUCUCUCAUCCCCUUCUUCUUAUUGUAUAGACGCAGCGCCACCCUUUGACGGCAUGGAGGGGAGAGCGACCAAUGGGACGCGAGAUAGUGUGGCAUCACUUCCUGCUUGCAUCAGCAACAGUCUCCCAGCAACAGUGUAGAGAAACCCCACAGAGGGAGGGACUUUUUUGGUUUGAGACAAAAAAGAACAAACAUUUUGCACCACUUGGUUGAAUAAAGGAAUAUAUGGGAUGAAAACCAAGGAUAACAAUUGGAACAAUGGCUCAAAAAAACAAAAUCCCCACAGACAUUUUAGAGAGGGAAAAAUGGCCAAAAUGUGUUCCUAUGAGAAAAUACUACUACUUUGUUAUGUGUUUUAGAUGUAAUUUCAGAAGGUACAGGUGUAGUGGACACAAUAUGGCUGACACCAAGGGGCUUGUUGUCAACAUCAGUCCCAGUGACAGACAGUUGAACUGGCCCCAUUGCUCCCUCUCCUCUCCUGCUGCUGUCUGGAAGAGCUGUACUUUCCUGUCAUUAUCAACAUACUGUCUUUGUCCUGUGUUCUCACCUCAUUGUGUCUGUCUGCCUGUCUGACUGCAUGUCUAUCGAAUGAUGGAACUAGCCCAUUUGUCUAAUAGUCUGUUUGUCCAAAAACAAUGUGUGCGUGUCUAAAUGUAUAGAUCUGAUUCUGUAUGUACAGUACACUAGUCUAUCAAUAGAAAUGUGUGUAUAUAUUUUGGGUUUGGUUAAUUGAUUGAUUUUAAAGAGGCACUUCUACAAUAAAACUGUUUUUUUA